AGCUCGAUUAUGGCUCAGAUUGAACGCUGGCGGGAUGCUUUACACAUGCAAGUCGAACGGCAGCACGGACUUCGGUCUGGUGGCGAGUGGCGAACGGGUGAGUAAUGUAUCGGAACGUGCCUAGUAGCGGGGGAUAACUACGCGAAAGCGUAGCUAAUACCGCAUACGCCCUUCGGGGGAAAGCGGGGGACCUUCGGCCUCGCACUAUUAGAGCGGCCGAUAUCGGAUUAGCUAGUUGGUGGGGUAACGGCUCACCAAGGCGACGAUCCGUAGCUGGUUUGAGAGGAUGACCAGCCACACUGGGACUGAGACACGGCCCAGACUCCUACGGGAGGCAGCAGUGGGGAAUUUGACAAUGGGGAAACUCCUGAUCCAGCCAUCCCGCGUGUGCGAUGAAGGCCUUCGGGUUGUAAAGCACUUUUUGGCAGGAAGAAACGGCACGGGAUAAUACCCCGUGCAACUGACGGUACCUGCAGAAUAAGCACCGGCUAACUACGUGCCAGCAGCCGCGGUAAUACGUAGGUGCAAGCGUUAAUCGGAAUUACUGGGCGUAAAGCGUGCGCAGGCGGUUCGGAAAGAAAGAUGUGAAAUCCCAGAGCUUAACUUUGGAACUGCAUUUUUAACUACUGAGCUAGAGUGUGUCAGAGGGAGGUGGAAUUCCGCGUGUAGCAGUGAAAUGCGUAGAUAUGCGGAGGAACACCGAUGGCGAAGGCAGCCUCCUGAUAACACUGACGCUCAUGCACGAAAGCGUGGGGAGUAAAAUGAGAUUAGAUACCCUGGUAGUCCACGCCCAAACGAUGUCAACUAUUGUUGGGGCCUUCGGGCCUGGUAGCGCAGCUAACGCGUGAAGUUGACCGCCUGGGGAGUACGGUCGCAAGAUUAAAACUCAAAGGAAUUGACGGGAUUCCACAAGCGGUGGAUGAUGUGGAUUAAUUCGAUGCAACGCGAAAACCUUACCUACCCUUGACAUGCCUGAAUCCCGAAGAGAUUUGGGAGUGCUCGCAAGAGAACCGGAACACAGGUGCUGCACAGCUGUCGUCAGCUCGUGUCGUGAGAUGUUGGGUUAAGUCCCGCAACGAGCGCAACCCUUGUCAUUAUUGCUACGAAAGGGCACUCUAAUGAGACUGCCGGUGACAAACCGGGAGGAAGGUGGGGAUGACGUCAAGUCCUCAUGGCCCUUAUGGGUAGGGCUUCACACGUCAUACAAUGGUCGGGACAGAGGGUCGCCAACCCGCGAGGGGAGCCAAUCCCAGAAACCCGAUCAGAACUGGAUCGCAGUCUGCAACUCGACUGCGUGAAGUCGGAAUCGCUAGUAAUCGCGGAUCAGCAUGUCGCGGUGAAUACGUUCCCGGGUCUUGUACACACCGCCCGUCACACCAUGGAGUGGGUUUUACCAGAAGUAGUUAGCCUAACCGCGAGGGCGAUUACCACGGUAGGAUUCAUGACUGGGGUGAAGUCGUAACAAGGUAA
RNAcentral lists this ribosomal RNA (1470 nucleotides) under uncultured Bordetella sp. RNAcentral describes it as "partial 16S-23S ribosomal RNA intergenic spacer". It matches the Rfam family "Bacterial small subunit ribosomal RNA". The record is from RNAcentral. Lineage: Bacteria; Pseudomonadati; Pseudomonadota; Betaproteobacteria; Burkholderiales; Alcaligenaceae.